GUUUCUUCAUCAAAUUUGAUGUGAUUGCCCCGCUGGGUUGCAUUCGUUCCAUUUGAGGGAUCUGAUUGUUUGCCAGUGUUUGAGUUUUGGGUUUCAUAAAUGUCGAGUAAACAAGAAGUUCAGUGUUCAAUUUUCUAUCUUAAAAAGGCUCAGUGUUUGUUUCUUACUCAAUAUGAGAUAUCUACAUUUCAAUUAGAAGUAAACCCAAUUGGCAUAUUCAUAAGUUGAACCCCAGAAUCAUCUAGAUAGGCCAUAAAGUUUGCAUUUGAUUUGAAUGGUCUUGGUGGGAUUGGAAGUAAACCCAAUUGACAUAUUCUAGAGUAAACCCUAUUUGAUUAUCAUGUAUUGAUUUAGUUUGCUGCAAGUCUUUGUUUGGAAGUUUAAGAUUAUCAUGUAAAUGUACAAUCAUAUGAUUCGUCAUAUUCUCUUGUUUAAGAUCAUCAUGUAAAUUGAAUCUUAAUAGUCGAGUAAAUUUGAUCACUUUGUGUCAGGGAGUCAUAACUAAACAGAGUUGAUCCUGACCAUAAUGAACUUGUUUCUGUAGCAAUCAAAUGAACUUGGUAUAAUUCGAAUUUGAUUAUAGCAAUACAAACUUAGCAUUACUGAUACUAUGGAAAAUAGAUUAGUACAUUACUGAUAUCUAGCCAUAC
Molecule: long non-coding RNA, 650 nt
Filed under: Rosa chinensis
Lineage: Eukaryota; Viridiplantae; Streptophyta; Magnoliopsida; Rosales; Rosaceae
Description: sRNA RchiOBHm_Chr2g0132231
Source: RNAcentral